RNAcentral lists this ribosomal RNA (460 nucleotides) under uncultured bacterium. RNAcentral describes it as "partial 16S ribosomal RNA". It matches the Rfam family "Bacterial small subunit ribosomal RNA", at positions 338 to 795 of the family's 1533-position model. The record is from RNAcentral.
CCUACGGGAGGCAGCAGUGAGGAAUAUUGGUCAAUGGACGCGAGCCUGAACCAGCCAAGUCGCGUGCAGGAUGACUGCCCUACGGGUUGUAAACUUCUUUUAUAAGAGAAUAAAGUGCGGCACGUGUGCCUUUUUGUAUGUACUUUAUGAAUAAGGAUCGGCUAACUCCGUGCCAGCAGCCGCGGUAAUACGGAGGAUCCGAGCGUUAUCCGGAUUUAUUGGGUUUAAAGGGUGCGUAGAUGGGUUGUUAAGUCAGUUGUGAAAGUUUGCGGCUCAACCGUAAAAUUGCCUUUGAUACUGGUAGGCUUGAGUGCAGUUGAGGUAGGCGGAAUGCGUGGUGUAGCGGUGAAAUGCUUAGAUAUCACGAAGAACUCCGAUUGCGAAGGCAGCUUACUAAACUGCCACUGACAUUGAUGCACGAAAGUGUGGGUAUCAAACAGGAUUAGAUACCCCUGUAGUC